Molecule: ribosomal RNA, 433 nt
Filed under: uncultured bacterium
Lineage: Bacteria
Description: partial 16S ribosomal RNA
Rfam family: Bacterial small subunit ribosomal RNA
Source: RNAcentral
AACGAACGCUGGCGGCAGGCCUAACACAUGCAAGUCGAGCAAGGACUUCGGUCCUAGCGGCGGACGGGUGAGUAACGCGUGGGAACGUGCCCUUUGCUUCGGAAUAGCCCUGGGAAACUGGGAGUAAUACCGGAUGAGCCCUUUGGGGGAAAGAUUUAUCGGCGAAGGAUCGGCCCGCGUUGGAUUAGGUAGUUGGUGGGGUAAUGGCCUACCAAGCCGACGAUCCAUAGCUGGUUUGAGAGGAUGAUCAGCCACACUGGGACUGAGACACGGCCCAGACUCCUACGGGAGGCAGCAGUGGGGAAUCUUAGACAAUGGGGGAAACCCUGAUCUAGCCAUGCCGCGUGAGCGAUGAAGGCCUUAGGGUUGUAAAGCUCUUUCAGCUGGGAAGAUAAUGACGGUACCAGCAGAAGAAGCCCCGGCUAACUCCGUG